AAUGGUAAUAAACUAAAUUGAGGAUGUCCACAACAUUAGUAUGGUAAGUGACCUCGCGUGUUACCUUUUUGUUUUUCUGAAACUCUCGCAGGGUUGCCAGGUUUUCACAACACUCAAUUGCUACACAAAAGUCACUAGCCUUAUGGCGCUUUGAAGGGGAGAAAGUACAAGAUUUUUGGCGAGGUUACCCUGGUAAAUAUUGCAGGAGCUAAAUAUCACGAUACGUCUUGGCAACAUUUCGUCUGUCUGAGAAGAGAUUUGAGAUCUCUGAGUCGGCUCCUAAAGAAUCCCACUCUUAUUGUAAGCAAAGUGAGUUUAACCACAGGUUAACCCCCAAUUUUCAUACAGGAAAGAUCAAUGACAUUUUUAGUAAUAUUCUUGUUCUUGGUACUGUUUUUAAUCCACUGAAACAUGAUGUUUUAUUUUAAUAAAAUAUCUGCUUCACCACUGGUAUGUUUGUGUGUUAUUAACCUGUUUCACUUCCUCUCACAGCAUCUGUGGUUGAUCCCAGGUUCUUGAAGAAGGUUUUUGUACUGGUCUUAAUCACUGUGUGAAUCUAUAACCACCUAAGUCACCGAAGCAAUAAUACUCUCCACUGUCUUCAUUCUGAGCUCCACUGAUGACCAGCUGGAAAUCUUUAUCAGAUCCACUUCCACUAAAUCGAGAUGGGAUGGAAGAAUAUCGGAUAUGUCCUUGAUAGAUGAGGAGUUUAGGAGCAUCUCCCGGUUUCUUGAGAGUGAAGUCAGUGUGAGCGCCAUUGCCGCUGAAUCUAGAUGGGAUGUUUGAGGGGCGCUGGUGUAUGUAAUAAAUGAGGAGUUUGGGAGCCUCUCCAGGUUUGUGCUGGUACCAGAACAUGCAGUUCCUCCAGAGAGUACAGUCAGCAACCGAAGAUGUCAGAGGUGACUGAGGGCUGAAGAAAGUGAACAGAAUGGGUUAUUCAGCUGCAAUAAAAUUCCUGUCUGCAGAAUAACACAUGACAAGAUCCCAUAAGCCAGGCAAUCCUGAUGCUUCCCAGUAGGUCCUGCUCUCUCCUGGGAAUGAAGCCAUAUCUGAGUCCCCUAUGACAGGUUUACCGCAGUCAGUCAACAGUCUACACCUUCUCACAGAGCUUCAACACACUAAAGACCAGAUCUGAAUUCCCUCGUUCAAGGCUGUUUCUGGCUAUUUUAAUGCCAUAGCUGGACUGUUUCCUUGGUUGGCGUCUCCUUAACAGGCAACAGCCUAGUUUGGCUAGAAUUGGCCCUGUCUGGGGUGAAAAUCUUCAUUAAAAUCUUCUAAUCUUCCACAGCCAGUGCACUUCUUGCAUUGGCAUUUUGCUUGACAUCCAAAACUUACAGAACUGCAGCUCUGAGCAGUUAAUGCUAAAUACCAAAUUGCCUCUUUGUCUCCGUAGCUGUGCUUUAGACAUUAAAAUAAGUGAGGAAUAUCGAUUACGCUGUCGCUCGUGUGAAGGGGGACAGGUCCUUUCCUGACUAAUUUGUAGGAAAAUGCACCUUGUGGCUCCUCCCUUGACACAGUGUUUAUUCAGCAGAAAUAAUUGGUAAUAGCGGAAAGGUAACGUGAGCAGAAUGAUCAUAUUUCUGCCUGUGCUGGUAACAUCUCAUGCAUUUUUAUGCAGUACAGCAGCAGUAUUAGAACCGAUAAUGUUCAGUAAUUAAAGCUUCAUGAAUGGGUGAAAUGGAGCCUGUACUGAAACUCAUUGCUUAUUUUGUAUAUGCAGUGGUGCUCAUUUCAGCUGGCGGACCAUUAAAAAAAAAAAAAAAAAACCUUGAGGACCACUGAACAACCCAAAUCUCCUUUGUUAAUAUUGUUUUUUCCAUUCAUCAAGAAUCUUGAAGAAUAUAAUGGUUUCCACAAAAAUAUGGAGAAGCACAACUGUUUUCAACAUUGAUGACAAUAAACAUUGAACAGCAAUCAGAA
Long non-coding RNA from Carassius auratus (goldfish), 1920 nucleotides. RefSeq lists it as uncharacterized. Lineage: Eukaryota; Metazoa; Chordata; Actinopteri; Cypriniformes; Cyprinidae. The transcript is spliced from 4 exons. The record is from RefSeq and is a predicted model, not a curated record.